GUGACAGGUGUGUCAUGAUGGUACAGCAGGUGUGGUAGAACUACAGUGGUAGGAAGUGUCAUGUCACUACAGCAGGUGUGCUAGAACUACAGGUGUGGUAGGAGGUGUCACAUCACUACAGCAGGUGUGGUAGAACUACAGUGGUAGGUGUCAUGUCACUACAGCAGGUGUGCUAGAACUAGUGGUAGGUGUCACAUCACUACAGCAGGUGUGGUAGGAGGUGUCACAUCACUACAGCAGGUGUGGUAGAACUACAGUGGUAGGAGGUGUCAUGAGGCUACAGCAGGUGUGGUAGAACUACAGUGGUAGGAGGUGUCAUGUCACUACAGCAGGUGUUGUG
This is a long non-coding RNA of Haliotis rubra (blacklip abalone), 340 nucleotides long. RefSeq lists it as uncharacterized. The record is from RefSeq and is a predicted model, not a curated record. The transcript is spliced from 2 exons. NCBI's taxonomy places the organism in Eukaryota, Metazoa, Mollusca, Gastropoda, Lepetellida, Haliotidae.